UGGCAUGCGAAUCUCGAAAGCCUAUCUCAGUUCGGAUUGGAGGCUGAAACCCGCCUCCAUGAAGUUGGAUUCGCUAGUAAUCGCGCAUCAGCCAUGGCGCGGUGAAUACGUUCCCGGGCCUUGUACACACCGCCCCGUCAAGCCAUGGGGAGCCGGGGGUGCCUGAAGUUCGUUACCACAAGGAUCGACCUAGGGCAAAACUGGUGACUGGGGCUAAGUCGUAACAAGGUAAC
This 233-nucleotide ribosomal RNA is filed under the name uncultured bacterium. RNAcentral describes it as "partial 16S ribosomal RNA". It matches the Rfam family "Bacterial small subunit ribosomal RNA", at positions 1261 to 1500 of the family's 1533-position model. The record is from RNAcentral.